This 1090-nucleotide ribosomal RNA is filed under the name Nidirana sp. RNAcentral describes it as "partial large subunit ribosomal RNA". The stretch from base 1 to 627 matches the Rfam family "Bacterial large subunit ribosomal RNA", at positions 1811 to 2925 of the family's 2925-position model. Lineage: Eukaryota; Metazoa; Chordata; Amphibia; Anura; Ranidae. The record is from RNAcentral.
AAACAUCGCCUCUUGACCAAAUAUAGGAGGUCCAGCCUGCCCAGUGAUAAAAUUCAACGGCCGCGGUACCCUAACCGUGCGAAGGUAGCAUAAUCACUUGUUCUCUAAAUAGGGACUAGUAUCAACGGCACCACGAGGGCUGUACUGUCUCCUUUCUCCCAUCAGUGAAACUGAUCUCCCCGUGAAAAAGCGGGGAUUAUUAUAUAAGACGAGAAGACCCCAUGGAGCUUUAAACUCAUCACCCACUUCCUCACUUCUAUACCCAACUAUAUAAGGAACCUGAGUGAUAGUUUUGGGUUGGGGGGACCACGGAGUACAAUUUAACCUCCAUGACAAAUGGGCUACGCCCUUAUCUACGAACUACAACUCUAAGAAUCAUAAGCUGAUGUUUAAUGACCCGAUAAUUCGAUCAACGAACCAAGUUACCCUGGGGAUAACAGCGCAAUCUACUUUAAGAGCCCCUAUCGACAAGUAGGUUUACGACCUCGAUGUUGGAUCAGGGCAUCCUAGGGGUGCAGCCGCUCCUAAUGGUUCGUUUGUUCAACGAUAGCUCUACCUUAGCUUCUUGAUUAUACCAAAAACCCCUUAAAACUUAAGAGCCAUUCAAAUAAGGCACAGCUUAUUUGAAAUAGGACACAACCUCUGACACCGGGUAAAUAAAGGUGAUUCAAACAAAGUCGGCCUAAAAGCAGCCACCUUUAAAAAAGCGUUAAAGCUUAAUUUUAAACUACCCAUAAUUCCCUAAAUUCCCAUUAACCCUUCACCACUACUGAACUAUUUUAUACUCUAUAAAAGCUAUUAUGCUAGAACUAGUAACAAGAAAUAGUCCUUCUCCAAAAUGUAAGCUUAUACCAAAAUGGACAAUCCAUUGGUAACUAACGCAAAUGCCAUAAUCACAGCAACAUACCUCUAGAAAACCCUGUGACCUCUUACGUUACCCUUACACUUGAACAUUUCAGGAAAGAUCAAAAGAGAAAGAAGGAACUCGGCAAAUCCUCAGCCCCGCCUGUUUACCAAAAACAUCGCCUCUUGACCAAAUAUAGGAGGUCCAGCCUGCCCAGUGAUAAAAUUCAACGGCCGCGGUACCCUA